GGGUUUGGCUGUUCGCCAAUUACAGUGGUACGUGAGCUGGGUUCAGAACGUCGCGAGAYAGUUUGGUCSCUAUCUGCCGUGGGCGKCGAAAUUUGAGAGGAGUUGACCCUAGUACGAGAGGACCGGGUUGAACAUACCUCUGGUGUACCUGUCGUCACGCCAGUGGCGCAGCAGGGUAGCUAUGUAUGGACGGGAUAACCGCUGAAAGCAUCUAAGCGGGAAGCCUCCCUCAAGAUAAGAUUUCACAGGACCGUGGAAGACCACCACGUUGAUAGAUCGGAUGUGGAAGUGCGGUAACGCAUGAAGCUAACCGAUACUAAUUGUCCUAUUCGCGCUU
RNAcentral lists this ribosomal RNA (337 nucleotides) under Sphingobium sp. AEW4. RNAcentral's name for it is "bacterial LSU rRNA". It matches the Rfam family "Bacterial large subunit ribosomal RNA", at positions 2569 to 2925 of the family's 2925-position model. The record is from RNAcentral. Lineage: Bacteria; Pseudomonadati; Pseudomonadota; Alphaproteobacteria; Sphingomonadales; Sphingobiaceae.